AUUGAACGCUGGCGGCAGGCUUAACACAUACAAGUCGAGCGGGGGAAGGAAGCUUGCUACCGGACCUAGCGGCGGACGGGUGAGUAAUGCUUAGGAAUCUGCCUAUUAGUGGGGGACAACAUCUCGAAAGGGAUGCUAAUACCGCAUACGUCCUACGGGAGAAAGCAGGGGAUCUUCGGACCUUGCGCUAAUAGAUGAGCCUAAGUCGGAUUAGCUAGUUGGUGGGGUAAAGGCCUACCAAGGCGACGAUCUGUAGCGGGUCUGAGAGGAUGAUCCGGCACACUGGGAGUGGGACACGGCCCAGAAUCCUACGGGAGGCAGCAGUGGGGAAUAUUGGACAAUGGGGGGAACCCUGAUCCAGCCAUGCCGCGUGUGUGAAGAAGGCCUUAUGGUUGUAAAGCACUUUAAGCGAGGAGGAGGCUACUCUAGUUAAUACCUAGGGAUAGUGGACGUUACUCGCAGAAUAAGCACCGGCUAACUCUGUGCCAGCCGCCGCCGUAA
This 501-nucleotide ribosomal RNA is filed under the name uncultured bacterium. RNAcentral describes it as "partial 16S ribosomal RNA". It matches the Rfam family "Bacterial small subunit ribosomal RNA", at positions 30 to 523 of the family's 1533-position model. The record is from RNAcentral.